RNAcentral lists this transfer RNA (76 nucleotides) under Candidatus Fimenecus excrementigallinarum. Its description in RNAcentral is "tRNA-Thr". It matches the Rfam family "tRNA". Rfam says of the family: Transfer RNA (tRNA) molecules are approximately 80 nucleotides in length. Their secondary structure includes four short double-helical elements and three loops (D, anti-codon, and T loops). Lineage: Bacteria; Bacillati; Bacillota; Clostridia. RNAcentral also lists the same sequence under 1 other name. The record is from RNAcentral.
GCUGCUGUGGCUCAGUUGGUAGAGCAGCUGAUUCGUAAUCAGCAGGUCGGCGGUUCGAGUCCGCCCAGCAGCUCCA